This 454-nucleotide ribosomal RNA is filed under the name uncultured bacterium. RNAcentral's name for it is "bacterial SSU rRNA". It matches the Rfam family "Bacterial small subunit ribosomal RNA", at positions 29 to 526 of the family's 1533-position model. The record is from RNAcentral.
AACGAACGCUGGCGGCAGGCUUAACACAUGCAAGUCGAACGGGCGUAGCAAUACGUCAGUGGCAGACGGGUGAGUAACGCGUGGGAACAUACCCUUUGGUUCGGAAUAACUCAGGGAAACUUGAGCUAAUACCGGAUAAGUCCGUGAGGAGAAAGAUUUAUCGCCGAAGGAGUGGCCCGCGUCUGAUUAGCUAGUUGGUGAGGUAAUGGCUCACCAAGGCGACGAUCAGUAGCUGGUCUGAGAGGAUGAUCAGCCACACUGGGACUGAGACACGGCCCAGACUCCUACGGGAGGCAGCAGUGGGGAAUAUUGGACAAUGGGGGCAACCCUGAUCCAGCCAUGCCGCGUGAGUGAUGAAGGCCUUAGGGUUGUAAAGCUCUUUUGUCCGGGAAGAUAAUGACUGUACCGGAAGAAUAAGCCCCGGCUAACUCCGUGCCAGCCGCCGCGGUAAAAC